Molecule: transfer-messenger RNA, 278 nt
Filed under: Phycisphaerales bacterium
Lineage: Bacteria; Pseudomonadati; Planctomycetota; Phycisphaerae; Phycisphaerales
Description: partial transfer-messenger RNA
Rfam family: transfer-messenger RNA
About the family: Bacterial tmRNA, also known as 10Sa RNA or SsrA, is named for its dual tRNA and mRNA-like properties.
Source: RNAcentral
AACAAUAGUUGCCAACAACGACAACUACGCACUAGCCGCCUAAUACCGGCUAGUCCUUUCACCUUUGCUUGAUUGUGGGCGGGGAUUCGAAAGGUCAUCUUACACAGUAUCGCGACGAAGCAUGUCUGUGGCGGAGUCGUUAAACUUAAAGCAGAAUCGCUGUGCGUUUUUCCCGUUUGCCGGAUAGCGUACAGUUAAAUUAAAUGCGCAAACUAAGCAUGUAGAUCUGGAGUGUAGAGGACUUGUGGACGGGAGUUCGAUUCUCCCCGCCUCCACCA